UCAGACCAUUAAAGUAACCUGCUCUGAGCACUCUAAUUUUUUCAAAGUAAACGUGCCGGCCACUCGGGACACUCGAUGAAGAGCACCCAGUGCGAGCCGGCGGGACUAGUUAGCUGUUCGGAGCGUGACAUAAGCACCAGGUGGUGUACCGUCAGUCCGGAACUGAGAUCCAACUACGAGCUUUUUAACCGCAACAACUUUAAUAUACGCUAUUGGAGCUCGAAUUACCGCGGCUGCUGGCACCAGACUUGCCCUCCAAUUGAUCCUCGUUAAAGGAUUUAAAGUGUACUCAUUCCGAUUGCAAGG
Non-coding RNA from Procambarus clarkii (red swamp crayfish), 306 nucleotides. Lineage: Eukaryota; Metazoa; Arthropoda; Malacostraca; Decapoda; Cambaridae. The record is from RefSeq and is a predicted model, not a curated record.